This 468-nucleotide ribosomal RNA is filed under the name uncultured bacterium. RNAcentral describes it as "partial 16S ribosomal RNA". It matches the Rfam family "Bacterial small subunit ribosomal RNA", at positions 28 to 523 of the family's 1533-position model. The record is from RNAcentral.
GAUGAACGCUGGCGGCGUGCCUAACACAUGCAAGUCAAGCGAUUCUCUUCGGAGAAGAGCGGCGGACGGGUGAGUAACGCGUGGGUAACCUGCCCUGUACACACGGAUAACAUACCGAAAGGUAUGCUAAUACGGGAUAAUAUGCUUUAGUCGCAUGGCUAAAGUAUCAAAGCUCCGGCGGUACAGGAUGGACCCGCGUCUGAUUAGCUAGUUGGUAAGGUAACGGCUUACCAAGGCGACGAUCAGUAGCCGACCUGAGAGGGUGAUCGGCCACAUUGGAACUGAGACACGGUCCAAACUCCUACGGGAGGCAGCAGUGGGGAAUACUGCACAAUGGGCGAAAGCCUGAUGCAGCAACGCCGCGUGAGCGAUGAAGGCCUUCGGGUCGUAAAGCUCUGUCCUCAAGGAAGAUAAUGACGGUACUUGAGGAGGAAGCCCCGGCUAACUACGUGCCAGCAGCCGCAGUAA